GUCUCUGCUGAGCACUGUGGAAUCAUGAGCUCCCUCUCAGGUCUGGGGGCAUCCGAGGCUCCACGUGGUGGCAUCAGCAGGGCUAAUGACACCGUUGGCAGGGCAAGGCUGGCAUGGUGCAAGCCCUGGCUGAGCAGGCACAUGGCUCUGCCUCGAGGGCUUGGGAUCAGGAUCCAUCCAACUCCCCUCACUGAGCUCCGGGAACCAGCUUCUGUGGCAAGAGUUCCACCAGGUGCUGGUGGUUCAGCCUACAUCCCCCACACCUGGACGGAAACCAAGGGAGAGACCAGCAGGUCUGAACACCUCCAGGAAGCCUUCUGGGACUCCCCCACCUGCCUCAUCUUGAAGCACAGGAGAUUGUUGUUUCACAUGUUGAGGGCCUUCUGGAUGCCACACACUGCCGAGGCUCUGGGGAAUAUGGCAGUAAAGAAGGCAAAGGCCUGUCCUCAUGAAGUUGAUGUUCUAUGGAG
This 470-nucleotide long non-coding RNA is filed under the name Heterocephalus glaber (naked mole-rat). RNAcentral describes it as "lncRNA (ENSHGLG00000037142.1)". The record is from RNAcentral. Lineage: Eukaryota; Metazoa; Chordata; Mammalia; Rodentia; Bathyergidae.